GACGAACGCUGGCGGCGUGCUUAACACAUGCAAGUCGAACGGAAAGGCCCUGCUUUUGUGGGGUGCUCGAGUGGCGAACGGGUGAGUAACACGUGAGUAACCUGCCCUUGACUUUGGGAUAACUUCAGGAAACUGGGGCUAAUACCGGAUAGGAGCUCCUGCUGCAUGGUGGGGGUUGGAAAGUUUCGGCGGUUGGGGAUGGACUCGGGGCUUAUCAGCUUGUUGGUGGGGUAGUGGCUUACCAAGGCUUCGACGGGUAGCCGGCCUGAGAGGGUGACCGGCCACAUUGGGACUGAGAUACGGCGCAGAAGCCUACGGGAGGCAGCAGUGGGGAAUAUUGCACAAUGGUCGGGAGCCUGAUGCAGCAACGCCGCGUGCGGGAUGACGGCCUUCGGGUUGUAAACCGCAUUCGCCUGUGACGAAGCGUGAGUGACGGUAAUGGGUAAAGAAGCACCGGCUAACUACGUG
This 468-nucleotide ribosomal RNA is filed under the name uncultured bacterium. RNAcentral describes it as "partial 16S ribosomal RNA". It matches the Rfam family "Bacterial small subunit ribosomal RNA", at positions 28 to 507 of the family's 1533-position model. The record is from RNAcentral.